CUAAUUACCCAAUAUAAUUGAAUCAAAUGCCCAAAUAACUCCCAUUUCUCCCAAAUCGUGGAACGGUGGAAGGCUAGAAGAAAACCCUUUUCCAAUUUCUUCAAUUCUUCCUUCGCCGCUCGUCCCUACCUGCACGACACUGCACACGAGUGACGAGACACGAAGGUGCUAGAGAUCAUCAGUUUCACCCCUGACCUACAAGCUGCAGUGUGAGACACUUCUUCCUUGGGCGCCGCCAGUUCGCCCCUGAUUUCUAAUUAUUUUUCUAACAUGACUUUUGACUUCAUUCUGAAAAUCUUUCAUCUUUUUGAGUUUUGGAGUAAAGAUAGAUAUAUUGUUGUGUUGUUUGUUGAUAUACUAAUUAAGUAUCCAAUAAGCCAUAAAAUAUUAUUUUAUUAAUAAAUAGGGUGGAUUAAAAUUUAAAAUUACAAAAUUUAAUUAAAAGCAAGAUUACUGCAAUUUGAGUUACCUUCAUAAUUUCCUUGUGUUAAUUAUUAUAUUCCUCAAAUAUUAGACUGAGGGUGAGGGAUAUAAUUAAAUAAUUGAACAGUGCCAACAUAUUAUGUGAGUGCUUACAUUUUUUAAAUGAAAAUUUUCACAGGGUAUGAAUCGUAUGAUUGCCUAUUUGUAUGUGUUAAGUGUUAAGUGCUAACUGCUAAUUUGGCAAAUUUAAUUUUAUUGUAUUGUAAUUUGUAGGUGCUAACUGCUCAAUACCAUGUUUAACAAUUUAAGGGCAUCAAUUUGGCGUGAUGUUGGAGCGGAAUCGCAGAAUUCUUUGUCCACUUGGCAAGCAAGUUCUCUGGUUCACUGGUUGGAGACUUGGAGCCAAUAUUAAUGCCAAAUGAUUCCUUCCUCGGGUCAGUGACUUAAGUUGAUCAGUUGAUGUUAAAUAUGUUGUGAUUUCUUCAUUUGGGAAUUAAAAAAUUGCGAAUUAUGAUUUAUGAAUUAUGAUAAGUAAUUUACGUUUUAUGAGUUAUGAUUAUUGAUUUGGGAAUUUAUGUUUAUGAAAUUAUAUUUGCAUUUGCAAUUUAUGAUAAGUAAUUUAUGUUUUGAUUAGGAAUGAUUAUUGAUUUGGGAAUUUAUGUUUACGAAAUUAUGUUGUGAAUUGUGAUUUAUGAUAAGUAAUUUAUGUUUUGUGAGUUAUGAUUAUUGAUUUGAGAAUUUACGUUUAGGAAAUUAGUCAAAGUGAAAAAUUUAAUUAAGAAGACGUUGACCGCUCAAUUCAACCCGUGUGUACUUGGUUUUUUUUUUUUAAAUCAAUUGUAAUUGAUCGUAAUAUCGGACUAACGGUCAACUUGCCCUAGCUGGACUUGGAUCUUGGAUUCCCCGCUGGUGUAUUUAUAGGGUUAAUCGUAUGGGUUUGUUUACUUGUGCCUGUAUGUUUUGGUUUCUUGCCUUCGUUUUGAACCCGCCAAAUAAAAAAUUAGUCCUAUAUUCUUGAUUCAUGUUUUAUGCUUUAUGCUAUCUUCAUUGAUACAAAAUAGUGUUCUAACAAUUUUCAGAUUUGAACCUAAGGAGAACUUCUAAUUUUCCCGCUUUUCCAAUUUUAGCAAAUGGUAUUGUUUUUGUAUCUAUUGGAUGGCUUAUAUUUGAUUGAAAAUUCCCAGGAUGUACUUUAAUUUGUUUUCAUAUCACAGACAUGUUGAUAAAGGUCCUCUAUGUUGUGCUUAAUUGUAUGUUCGUAUUCCACCACUUGCCUAACAAAUUUAAAAAAUAAAAAUACUCUUCCACCACUAAAUGAGCUCUAUCUUUCUUGAUUUCUUGAAAUGAAAUGUAAUUGGCUUAUAUGAUGUGUGAUUACUCUUUUUAGAGUUUCAAAUUCCAAUGGAUCAUCUAUGCAUGUUUUACCUCUACUCAUUUAUUUGAGUUGACUAUGAUCCGUGGUUUAUUCACCUCGUAGAAUGGGUGGAAGAAAUUAUGAAAUUUGUCAUAGUUGUAAAGUUAAGGGCCACUCCUUUGCUAAUGCCCACAAAAACGUCGAUGCCCAUUAUGCAAGCAUGGAUUCGCGAAGUAUUUCAUGGUGGAGAAAGAGACGGUCAACACAGGAUGAUUAAUUCUUUGUUGCAGUGACAAUUGUAGAUUUUGGGACUGGGUUUUGAAAGAAGAAUUAUCAAGAGAUCAAUCCUCUAGCAAUAGCACUUCCUCAGUUAACCUAGGGACGAACGAAAGAGUUGAAGAUAUGAAACGCAAGUUCCAAUCUCGAGUUUUCCUCAAUGAUAAAGAAAAACUACGAAUUUCAAUGACUGUGAUGAUUAGCAAGGUAAAUGGUAGCGCGGAAGGGAAUGUAAAAAGGAAGGGGUCAACGUGAGUAGUAGAAAUUAAUCGAACGGGUGAUCACAUGAGGAUUUAGGCAAUUACAUCUUUUGUGUCAUAUUGUUGUGUAAAAAUUGUUUUGGCAUUUCGAUUUAGCUAGACGAUGUUAAAAUCCAUCUUUCUUGUUCGUAGUUUUGAAGUUAUGAUUUCUUUAUAUUGUUAAAAUUCAUCUUUCUUGUGCAUGAUGUUAUGAUUUCUUCAUAUUGUCUUACUCUGCAUGGAACCAAUAGUGCUAAAAACAGGACAACAAUAACACUAAUAGGGGAAACGGCCAACGAAAUGAUUCACUCAACCGAGGGACCGUGAAUACCGAUGUCCA
This 2632-nucleotide long non-coding RNA is filed under the name Olea europaea subsp. europaea. The record is from RNAcentral. Lineage: Eukaryota; Viridiplantae; Streptophyta; Magnoliopsida; Lamiales; Oleaceae.